UACGGGGGGAGCAAGCGUUGUUCGGAUUUACUGGGCGUAAAGGGUGCGUAGGUGGCGCCGUAAGUCGGGUGUGAAAUUUCGGAGCUUAACUCCGAAACUGCAUUCGAUACUGCGGUGCUUGAGGACUGGAGAGGAGACUGGAAUUCAUGGUGUAGCAGUGAAAUGCGUAGAGAUCAUGAGGAAGACCAGUGGCGAAGGCGGGUCUCUGGACAGUUCCUGACACUGAGGCACGAAGGCCAGGGGAGCAAACGGG
Molecule: ribosomal RNA, 253 nt
Filed under: uncultured bacterium
Lineage: Bacteria
Description: partial 16S ribosomal RNA
Rfam family: Bacterial small subunit ribosomal RNA
Source: RNAcentral